Molecule: non-coding RNA, 947 nt
Organism: Amborella trichopoda
Lineage: Eukaryota; Viridiplantae; Streptophyta; Magnoliopsida; Amborellales; Amborellaceae
Source: RefSeq, a predicted model, not a curated record
ACCCUUAAUGGACACACCAUUAAUGAACACUUUGAUUCUCAUGUUUGGCUUAGUUUUUCAUAUUCAUCAACAGUGAAAGAGAUUUUAAGUAAUAUCCUAGCAGGGUUUCUCAAAGACAUGAGAAGGAGAUGGAAGAUAAAAAACUACAAGAAAUGCUCCACAUGAAUUUAGGUGAUAAGAAGUGCAUUGCAAUGUUGGAUGAUGCAUGGGAUGAAGAAGUGUGGAAAGUGGUCGAUUAUUCAUUUCCAGCUUUAAGGAAUGCAAAGGGGAUGUCUCUUCACCAAUUUAUGAGUUAAGAAUAUGAUGCAUAAUCCUACUCUGCAAGGAAGCAUUUUGGAUGGCAGAUGGAGACACUUCUCCUUCAGACAUGAAACAAGAAGCAAGACUCCUUGUUUAAGAUUGUCAUAGUAUUCCCUAAGGGUGGUAUGAUGUCUAAACAACCCCGAACAAUAUCUACUUCGGCAAAUGCCCACCAUGAAGCAGUGAGAGCUGUCUUGGCACUAAACUUUAUGGGUGUGUCGCCUCUCCAAGGUUUGAGCCACAACGCUCCGGCAGUAUAAAAACUCACUUCAGUAGUGCAAAGACAUGCUCCAACAAUGAAGUAUCUAGAGCCACAGCGCUCCAACAAUGGAAGACCGCGCUCCAGUAGUUUAAACAAGCGUUCUGGCAUUUUGAAUGUAUGCUCCAGCAAUGCAAGUCUGAGCCACAGCGCUCCAGCAUUAUAGAACGCACUCCGGCAGUGCAAAUACGUGCUUCAGCAGGCUGAUAAUGGGCCUGGGCGGCAGGCGGGCGUUUGGAUCUGGUCUAGACGACACGGCUGGUCGACCUGGACCGGUGGGUGAUCGAUCGGUUCUGAGUUUUUAAACACUGAGUUAAGCUAUCAUUCCCCUGACUCUUUCUUAUACUCAGUCCAUGUAUGCCAAGUGAAUAAUCUUAUAUUCUUAUAC